AUUGAACGCUGGCGGCAUGCCUUACACAUGCAAGUCGAACGGCAGCACGGGUGCUUGCACCUGGUGGCGAGUGGCGAACGGGUGAGUAAUACAUCGGAACAUGUCCUGUAGUGGGGGAUAGCCCGGCGAAAGCCGGGUUAAUACAGCAUACGAUAUACGUACGACAGCUGGGUACCUUGUGGCCUCGCGCUUUAGGGUUGGCCGAUGGCUGAUUAGCUAGUUGGUGGGGUAAAGGCCUACCAAGGCAACGAUCAGUAGCCGAUCUGAGAGGACGACCAGCCACACUGGGACUGAGACACGGCCCAGACUCCUACGGGAGGCAGCAGUGGGGAAUUUUGGACAAUGGGCGAAAGCCUGAUCCAGCAAUGCCGCGUGUGUGAAGAAGGCCUUCGGGUUGUAAAGCACUUUUGUCCGGAAAGAAAUCCUUGGCCCUAAUACGGUCGGGGGAUGACGGUACCGGAAGAAUAAGCACCGGCUAACUACGUG
Molecule: ribosomal RNA, 486 nt
Filed under: uncultured bacterium
Lineage: Bacteria
Description: partial 16S ribosomal RNA
Rfam family: Bacterial small subunit ribosomal RNA
Source: RNAcentral